Molecule: RNA transcript, 2041 nt
Organism: Rhododendron vialii
Lineage: Eukaryota; Viridiplantae; Streptophyta; Magnoliopsida; Ericales; Ericaceae
Exons: 4
Source: RefSeq, a predicted model, not a curated record
CGUUCGAAAUUGACGAUAUUAGGGUUUUCGUUGGAAGCAAAAUGUCACCGGGUAGGCUGCCGACCGUCGCCGAAAUAGGCCAGCUGGUGGCGCCGGAGAGGCUUCUCCCUACUGUGGAAUUCAACACGACGGUAAAGAAGAAGCGCUUUAUGUGCCAGAAGAGAAAAGCAACAAAAAAAAAAAAAGCGAACUGAUGAAGAAUUGAAAAGAGAAGGGAAGGAAUCUUUGGAAGGACAUGCAUCGUCUUCAUCUCAAACGGUGGGAAGGACAUGCAUCGUCUUCAUCGUACAGGGAGGCUUGACAUUUCGAAUGUGGAGGAAUCUGAAGAAGAAUUAGAGUUGGGAGGCAUUGGUACAAGCAGAGAAGGGAAGGAGCCCUUAGAAGGACAUGCAUCGUCUCCAUCUCAAACGUUGGGGAAGGACAUGCAUCGUCUUCAGCGUACAGGAAGGCUUGACAUUUCGAAUGUGGAGGAACAAAUUCUGGUUCUUUCCCAAGAAAACUCGUGGUAUUUGAGGUUUUAUACAUCCACAAACACUUUGAUAUGCAUAUAUGCCAUACCUAUGUUAUGUUUUUACUUGCGUGCAAAGAGCAUGUGUAGUUUAUUGGUGUUAUCCAUGGGGUUUUUUCUUUUCAAUUCUUCCGUUUUCUUGCCUCCCAUACAGAUUCUAGGGUUCUCAACCUUAUGUUUUUACCUGUAUUCUACCGUCUUUGAUUCUUUGACAGUGGAAUGAAAGACGUCAUUAAUUGAGUUUGUUGCACGUUCAAGGGGUACAAUGCAUGUUUUAGCUCUGGAAAAUCAGAUCUAGAACUGCUAUGAUUUCUGGCUUACCAACCAAAGUUGGUGAAAAUAUUGGAAAUUUUCUCUUUGAAGUGUUAGUGACUCCGCGUAAUGUUUAUCCAGGCAGGCUCCUAAUUUCUGUGGAAGCAGCUUUGAAAUAUUUCCCUUCUCUAGCCAAUCGUCAGGAAACUUACGAGGAGAAGAUUGAGAUCACAGACACUCAAAACAGAGAUUGGCCUAUGACAGUGAAAUAUCUUAGGUUGGAGAGUUUCUUCGUUAUGGAUAGCAAUUGGUAGAGUUUUCUUUUGCGGAAUCGUUUGGAUGGUAUGGAUGUGAUUCGUUUCUACAUACCUUUACCGGUUUGUUACAAUAACUGUUACCUGGUUGAACUUGCCAAACGAAGGUAUCCAGGGAUCAUCCAUAAAUUGAACCCUGAAAAUUACCUGGUUGAGCUGCCAUUGACUGAUGCGGACAGCUUGUGCAAAAGUCUCUUCAUUCCCACGAAAGAAGUAAAGAGUCAUUUCCCCGCAGUUGGAAUUCCCAGCUAAAACACAUCACAUGGAGACUCUUUACUUUACUGAUGAGCGGAACGGUGAAUGGCGCAUGAAAAUUGCAUGCUUUCGUGCUCUUUUCCGGCUUAUGAUGGAGGAAUUCAUCCUUGAGCGCAAUUUGGUAGAAGGGGAUACAAUUAGGUUUCACAAAGCUGACCAGCCUUCUUUAAACACGGAUCACUUUCUUAUUGGAUUUGUCAAAGGAUGUGGUGUUCCGACUGAAUUAAGGACUGCUGCAGUAAAUGAUUGCACGGAUCGAGGCAGUGACAGGGAGGGUGAUGGUGGAGGAGGAGGAGCAGACAGAGGCAGCAACAGACAGGGUGAUGGCAGAGGAGGGAGUAGCAGUGGGGGCCGCAUGAUGUUGAAAUUUGGUUUUGGAGAUUGCUGUAUGGCGUUGAAAAGCAAUGCAAGGACAGAGGAGUCAUGAACAAGAAAGUAGCAACAGUGGCGAUUUUGACCAAGUAGGUAAGGAUAGUCAUUCGACGAAAUUUUGAUUCCAGAUUCUCCUUGUAAAUUCCUGAGGUAGAUGGAACGACGAAAUGGUAGUUUCUAGUAGUAGCUAGCUCUGUAAAAGAUAGUGAACAGUGUUUGCUGAUGAUUGCCGAUGACACUCUGAUUAUUGAUUGUGAUAACAUCGAGGCAUUUCUCUGUCCUUUUUGAAUUGGUAAAAACUCAAUCAUAAUGGGCAACUACUGUUUGGAGUUUUGGUUUC